RNAcentral lists this long non-coding RNA (663 nucleotides) under Arabidopsis thaliana (thale cress). RNAcentral's name for it is "long non-coding RNA (ATHA_LNC000238)". Lineage: Eukaryota; Viridiplantae; Streptophyta; Magnoliopsida; Brassicales; Brassicaceae. The record is from RNAcentral.
AAACAUUUCUGAUAUGUGAACAAAUUCCAAAUCCAUUUACACAUCUAAUCAGGACAGUCAUGACAAAUCUAAAGGUUUCAUCUUCAAUCUCAAAUUCAUAACUUGUUAAUCUAUGAUCGGGUUUAAUGAUUAUUUGUGUUUAAAUUAUUUGUUCUAAUUGUCUUAUUUACAAAUUUAAAUCAUGUUGUUAUCUGGGAUUUUUCAAAUCUAUCAAAGUAUUAGAUUUUGAUUUUAGUUUUCAUUAAAAUUGAGGUAAUCUUUGUAUCAAACAUAUAUCUCCUAUUGAGAUCAGUUUAAUUUUUAGAUCUCCUAUUUAAACAUAUUCCAGAAAAUAUAUAUAUGUUUUAAGAUAUUUAAAACUCAAUUUGAACCAUUUUAUUUCAUUUCUUUUCUUUUUAUUUUUAAUCUUGAUUAUUAAAUAUUUUUAAGGUAUCAUUGGCUGCUUCAGAUCAGAUCCGGAUACCCACGGAUAUUGGUGGAUCCAAGGGAUACAAAAUACUAGCCAAGAUAAGUUGAUACAUGCCCAUCUCUACUAUAUCUAAUGGUUUCAGACCUGAAAUGUAAUAUGAGUUUAAUCUUUUAUAUAUAUGUUUUGCCAAUCAGUACGUCAUCUUGCUAUUAUCACUUUCAUUACAAAAACAAUUGGCUAAAAAAACUUUUUCA